AGAAUCAACGCUGGCGGCGUGCCUCAGACAUGCAAGUCGAACGCGAAAGUCCCCUUCGGGGGUACUCGAGUGGCGAACGGGUGAGUAACACGUGAGUAACCUGCCCUGGACUUUGGGAUAACCCUCGGAAACGGGGGCUAAAUACCGGAUAUGACACGCGGAUGCAUGUUUGUGUGUGGAAAGAUUUUUGGUCUGGGAUGGGCUCGCGGCCUAUCAGCUUGUUGGUGGGUGAUGGCCUACCAAGGCGACGACGGGUA
RNAcentral lists this ribosomal RNA (257 nucleotides) under uncultured bacterium. Its description in RNAcentral is "partial small subunit ribosomal RNA". It matches the Rfam family "Bacterial small subunit ribosomal RNA", at positions 26 to 285 of the family's 1533-position model. The record is from RNAcentral.